Molecule: long non-coding RNA, 363 nt
Organism: Ruditapes philippinarum (Manila clam)
Lineage: Eukaryota; Metazoa; Mollusca; Bivalvia; Venerida; Veneridae
Exons: 4
Source: RefSeq, a predicted model, not a curated record
AAUGAAUCAGCUCUUCAAUAUAAAGGGUAUGCAAAAAACUUGGAAUAGUGAAAAAAGUUUGUGAUUAGCUACUUGUGGGUUUGGUUUUAGUGUUGGUGGCGUGGGAGGUUAGCCGAGAAGCCUUGAAAACUGUGUAUUGCCUCCUUAAGGGUCUAGGCCUCAGUUUGUACGGCAUUGUAUUGUUAUCGUUAUCGUGGCACAAGUGAUAAACAUCUGUAGCAUCUUCCUUAGUUAGACGUUGAAAAGUUCUGUUUCCGGAGGGUUGAUUCUGUUUGUGAUUAGCUACUUGUGGGUUUGGUUUUAGUGUUGGUGGCGUGGGAGGUUAGCCGAGAAGCCUUGGAAACUGUGUAUUGCCUCCUCAGU